UGGCGAGUGGCGGACGGGUGAGUAAUGCAUCGGGACCUACCCAGACGUGGGGGAUAACGUAGGGAAACUUACGCUAAUACCGCAUACGUCCUACGGGAGAAAGCGGGGGAUCUUCGGACCUCGCGCGUGUGGACGGACCGAUGUUCGAUUAGCUAGUUGGUGGGGUAAGGGCCUACCAAGGCGACGAUCGAUAGCUGGUCUGAGAGGAUGAUCAGCCACACUGGGACUGAGACACGGCCCAG
RNAcentral lists this ribosomal RNA (242 nucleotides) under uncultured bacterium. RNAcentral's name for it is "partial 16S ribosomal RNA". It matches the Rfam family "Bacterial small subunit ribosomal RNA", at positions 89 to 334 of the family's 1533-position model. The record is from RNAcentral.